This is a long non-coding RNA of Numida meleagris (helmeted guineafowl), 2614 nucleotides long. RefSeq lists it as uncharacterized. The record is from RefSeq and is a predicted model, not a curated record. The transcript has 14 exons. NCBI's taxonomy places the organism in Eukaryota, Metazoa, Chordata, Aves, Galliformes, Numididae.
ACGAGCCCUCUGCGCCCUCUCCGCGCUCCCAUUGGCUGCCACCCCCACAGCCCGCGAGGCGGAGCGGCAGCGGUGACCGUUGCGCCCCCCUGCGGCGGGGAGGGCUGCCGCAGCCCGGCACGUGUGGGAAGCGCUAGGCCGCCAUUUUGCGUGCGGCGGGAGGAGGGCGCGGCCGGGGGGACCGGAACGACCCCGACAUCACCAAGCACCCCGGCGGCACGAAGCGGCUUCACACCUCUCCGGUAGCGUCCUGAAACUCUGGAGCCAAUGGCGUGGUGGUGAACUGGGAGGAUGGGCAGAGCCGUGGCCUCGUGUGAAGUGUGCCCUUCUGAGGGAGUAAUGCAAAAUAGGCUGCCACAAUUGAGCGUAUCCUCACUUACUGCAGUCUAGGACUUUGCUACUCUGCUGUCACUACUGUGCUUUCCAUCACGUUAUAGUGACUAAGUAAACAACAACCGUAUUAGACGAAGAAAAAUCUUAAAUCUAGGAUGGACUCAGAUAUAUAAAUGAGUGCCGGAAAAGGAGGAAGACUAAUGAAAAAGGGCUGGAAAGGAGUGUCAGGGUUUGCCUUGUUCAUUGCUCUGUCCUCAGAAUCUUACAGAAAUUUACAAAGGCUGACAUGUGGAAGUUUAUUUCCAGUGAUUUCUUCUGAGAUACGUAAAGAAUUUGGCACGUUUGGACUGAAGUUAGCCACUGUGAAUCGUCUUCUAGUGGCUUUCCAAAACCAAGUUUUGAUCAUCUGACAGACCCUUUGGACACACCAGAAUUUCACAGGCUUUACAGAGUUACCCGGUUGAGAGCAUCCAUCUGUUGAAUAUUACUUAGGUACUGCCCCCACAAAGGAGAAAAUACAGGUUAUACAUUUUGUGUUCUGAUACAUGAAAACGUUGCAGAAAAUGAGCCCAGAUAAAAGAACUUGGAAAGAGAUCCAGAAGAUACAUUACAAUGAAUUUUAUUUCCAGGAUCAGGUAAUUGCUGAUGUCCUUGACCUGCUGUACCCUCAGAGAGCCAAUCUUUGUCUGUUCUCUACCAAAAAUGAGAGGAAGUGCCCUUGAAAGGAGAGAUGGCUUGAGACCAAGUACAGUGUAGAAGGACAUGGAGCAGUACUGGGCGGUUGUAUUGGCUGAUGACUUAAGGUUAAAUCCAGACUUGCAUCCUCCAGAAGAAAAUAAAUGUUUAGGUCCUGAUGUGCUAGCUGAGAAAUCCCCAGGAAAUGAUCCAUUGCCAGUUGCUGCAGAAACACACAGUUUCAAAGUUGAAACCUCUGUUAUUGUCACCAGGAUAAUCCUCAAGAAAUGUCAAACUUCAACUGCCAACAGCUCUGUGAAGCUGGCACUGCAGGACUCGUGGAAACCUCUGUUAACCUGUGUGCUGUUCCCAGGGCAUCCAAAGCCACUGCAGCCGCCUCUGAGGUGCUCCUGUUGUAGCUGUUCGGGCACUGGGACCAGCAAAGAAUGUGUGUGGUGGGGGCUGGGGAGGAAGAAAAUGAGAAAAGGAUACAACAAGGAUUAGUUUCUUCUACUCACUUGUAUACAAAAGCUGUGAUGCAAGAAGGCUAGGAGGAGUUCCUCAGCUUCCUUCACGCUUCAGUCCAAUGUGUGGUGGUAGUUCAUUAUAACUCUGUGGUUACCCUUCUGCAACAUAAAUAAUGAUUAAAACAAAGAAGCAGGUUUUGAGAUCCAAAGAAAACUUGUUCGAUGCGUCCUGGCUGGAGCAGCAACUUGAUCCUUACGGCAGCCCGUCGUCUUCUAAGCUCAGCGCCACACGCUGUGAGGGAAGGAAAUCGUACUUGAGGAGAGGCUAUUACUGCCAGUGCUUCAUCUCACGAGGGCUGCUUCUUGGAAGGAAGAUCCAAAGCAGACAAGCUGCCACACAGAACAGUUUUUCUUUUUUUCUGCAUACAAAGGACUUGCUAACAAAUGCUGUGACAAGUUGCUGCUUCCGGUGGUCAUCUCAGAAUCUACGAGGAUGGAUGCGGUUGAACGAGAACCAGGGCUGGCAGUCGUGGCUUCCGCUACAGCUUUGGGAAUGGCGGCGGCGGUGGCAUUGCCAGUGACAGUCGCGGUGGAGGCAGAGGCAGGACGAGAUGCUGUGGUUCUAGGAACCACGACAGUAGCUGGAGUAGUUGGAAGAUCUGAAAAGCAGAAGCAGUGAUGAAAUAAAUUAGCAAAUCACAAAUGGUGAUAUAGAUCUGGGGAGGAUUGUGACGUUUGCUGGUUGGAAACAAACCAAAUUCCAAUUCUCCUUGCCAAGUAGAGAACUGAUAGAUCUACAGCUACGGAUUAUUUUUUCUGAAAUCAAAAUUAACAGCAGUAACGUACUCUGUCUGGAAGAUAGCUAAGAAGUUAAAAUACUCUUUUGAGACGGUACUGAAUUUGUACCAGGAAGAGAAAAUUAUAUUGUAACCACCAGUCUCUUCAGCAGUGAUAGUGGUCUUUCCAGAUCCAGUAUCUAUAGGGCACUAACAUGGCAAAUUUAUACCAUUUACUGACCAUUCACAUUUUCAGUCCUAGGCAUCAUCCCUUCUUUCCUCUUUUCCCUCUAUUUUUUCCUGACGAUGCUUUCAAAAAAUAAUACGUCUUCAAUAAAGAAUAGCACAAUGCUGUGUUCAGAA